Molecule: ribosomal RNA, 460 nt
Filed under: uncultured bacterium
Lineage: Bacteria
Description: partial 16S ribosomal RNA
Rfam family: Bacterial small subunit ribosomal RNA
Source: RNAcentral
CCUACGGGAUGCAGCAGUGAGGAAUAUUGGUCAAUGGACGCGAGUCUGAUCCAGCCAAGUAGCGUGAAGGAUGACUGCCCUAUGGGUUGUAAACUUCUUUUAUAAAGGAAUAAAACGAGGCACGUGUGCCUUUUUGCAUGUACUUUAUGAAUAAGGAUCGGCUAACUCCGUGCCAGCAGCCGCGGUAAUACGGUGGAUCCGAGCGUUAUGCGGAUUUAUUGGGUUUAAAGGGAGCGUCGAUGGAUUGUUAAGUUAGUUGUGAAAGUUUGCGGCGCAACCGUAAAAUUGCAAUUGAUACUGGCAGUCUUGAGUACAGUUGAGGUAAGCGGAAUUCGUGGUGUAGCGGUGAAAUGCUUAGAGAUCACGAAGAACCCCGAUUGCGAAGGCAGCUUACUAAACUGUGACUGACAUUGAUGCGCGAAAGUGUGGGUAUCAAACAGGAUUAGAUACCCGAGUAGUC